RNAcentral lists this long non-coding RNA (2105 nucleotides) under Gallus gallus (chicken). RNAcentral describes it as "lncRNA (ENSGALG00010006535.1)". Lineage: Eukaryota; Metazoa; Chordata; Aves; Galliformes; Phasianidae. The record is from RNAcentral.
UUGACCCUGGUUCUCCCUCUCAUUUCCCUGUUCCCUAACAUAGUUUCCUUCAUAUUUUGAGGACAAACAAUACACAGUUAAGGCCUUCAAGUUCAGGCGAGCCUAGCAGCUCUGAAAAAAUGGAACACUAAUUUGAACUUAAGUUGCUGAGAGAUUUAGGGUUUUUUUGUUUUGUUUUGAUGUGUUUGAAAUGACCUUUCUCUUUUGAGAAGGGGUGUACACAGAGAGACAGCAGUCAGACCCAGGGUGUCUGUCAAGGUGGACGGCAUCACAAGUAACCGACAGCGGUCACCCCAGGGAUGAAUAUGGAUAUCUGUGGAUGUACAGCUAUAGGCUUCUGCACCCUAAGCACUGCAGUUAGCCAAGAACAUCAUGCUUUACAGAUCUGAGCACCUUGGGCAGAAAUUCUCCUUUAUGUGCCAGAAGUCAUGAAACCAAAGGCAGAAAUCAGCAAGAGGAGACCAGGCACCUCAGGCUGUUUGCCGCGUUAAUCUUCAGAACCCAUUAAGGUGCGCAUGGGAAAAGGCCUGAUCACUGUGCGGGGUUGGCUGCAACACUGUCCUUUUGGGCACUGCUUGGCUUCCAGACCCUUGUGCAGAUGUUAUCCAGCAAGUGCUGAAGGUCUGGUGGCCUGGGGGUCCUGCUGUCCCCUCUUGCAGCCACGGUGUUGGUGGAAUUUGCUCUGGGCUUCGUAAAACCCUCCUGGGGGUUAUACAGAUCUUACCUGUAUGUGUUGUCUCCUCUCUCCCCUCCUGUUUCAGACCCAGGAGUAUGUUUACAAGACUUUCAAGUUUCCCAGCCCUGUGAGAAGGAUUGGGAAACACAUGGGCCCAGCACGUUCAGCCCUAAACCACGCACCCCGAGGUGCUGAGUUGUCUUACCGUAGAAGCCUGAGAGGCAUUCUGCCAUUAAAAAAAUGUUCAGAAAGAGGAAAAAUAUGGGAAAAAGGAAAAAGUGAGGAAGAGAAGAUGGGAAUGAGAAAGGAAGGAAGAAAGGAAGGAAUCACAGAAUCACAGAAUGGCCUGGGUUGAAAGGGACCUCAAGGAUCAUGAAUCUCCAAACCCCCUGCCGGGCAGGGCCACCAACCUCCCUAUUUACUAGAUCAGGUUGCCCAGGGCCUCAUCCAACCCGGCCUUGAACACCUCCAGGGACGGGGCAUCCACAACCUCUCUGGGCAGCCCAUUCCAGCACCUCACCACUCUCCUGGUAAAGAACUUCCCCCUAACAUCCAACCUAAAUCUUCCCUCUUUCAACUUAAAACCGUUCCCCCUUGUCCUGCUGUUGAAGGAAAGGAGGAAGGAACAGAAGAACACAUAUGGACAAAAUUCAUGUCUCAUAUGCUGAAAACUAUUUGGCUCAUACUGUCAUUUUCAAACAAGAACUCUUAAAUUUUAUUGUACAUAACGAUGUCUUCCUGCAAAGCUCCAAAAGUAAUUGCUAGGCAUCACAGGUAUCAUUUACAAAGCAUGUGCAAUGAUCUGCAACAUCUACUUAGUCUGCAGCAUUCAAAAGUCAAACUCCUUGUUAAGUUGGAUGCUGAAUUGAAGGUCCCAUGAUUGCAAUUUAAUCUCUCUUCGUUGAUAGUCUACUUUGCUUCCCAUAAGUGAACUGGUCUCCAACUUCUACAUUGAAAGGCUAACAGAAACUUGUUCAAAUUUUGUUUGUUUCUCUGAAAGAUAAGUACUGUUUCUAGUAGGAUUUGUGCACCUGAGCACUGGAUACAAUCCAGGUUUGGAAAUCUAUGUUUAAUGGGGUCUUUUUAGAUUUAGAUUUUUUUCAUUUGGAAUCAGAACUAUAGAAGAUGUUCUGCAAAACAUUUCAAAAUCAUUGUUUGUACUCUGAAAAAUAUGCAAUUUUACUUCCUUUAUUUCAGUAUUCUUUGGUUAUAUUUACUCAGUUCAUGAAGUCAUAGCAUGGCAUAUCAUAAUUUCUGUUAAUUUAAAGAUAAAUGAGAUCUGUACUCACACUGAUUUUAUUUGCACAUCUUUUCUAGAUUAGAAUCUCCUGUUUAUCCUAUAGUGAAGUGGCUUACAAAAAAUCCAGUAUCAUUUAGAGAUGAAGGCAAAUAGUAUACAAAUUAGGACCAUAUUUUCAGUAUCAUUUUG